CAGUCGCCGCGGUAAAACGAAGGGUGCAAGCGUUAAUCGGAUUUACUGGGCGUAAAGCGUGCGUAGGCGGCUUUUUAAGUCGGAUGUGAAAUCCCUGAGCUUAACUUAGGAAUUGCAUUCGAUACUGGGAAGCUAGAGUAUGGGAGAGGAUGGUAGAAUUCCAGGUGUAGCGGUGAAAUGCGUAGAGAUCUGGAGGAAUACCGAUGGCGAAGGCAGCCAUCUGGCCUAAUACUGACGCUGAGGUACGAAAGCAUGGGGAGCAAACAGGAUUAGAUACCCCAGUAGUCCCUGUCUCUUAUAC
This 301-nucleotide ribosomal RNA is filed under the name uncultured bacterium. RNAcentral's name for it is "partial 16S ribosomal RNA". It matches the Rfam family "Bacterial small subunit ribosomal RNA", at positions 509 to 807 of the family's 1533-position model. The record is from RNAcentral.